Molecule: ribosomal RNA, 905 nt
Filed under: uncultured bacterium
Lineage: Bacteria
Description: bacterial SSU rRNA
Rfam family: Bacterial small subunit ribosomal RNA
Source: RNAcentral
AGAGUUUGAUCCUGGCUCAGGACGAACGCUGGCGGCGUGCUUAACACAUGCAAGUCGAGCGGGGUUUAUCGGAUUAGCUUGCUAAACUGAUAAACCUAGCGGCGGACGGGUGAGUAACGCGUGAGCAAUCUGCCUCAUACAGGGGGAUAACAGGUGGAAACACCUGCUAAUACCGCAUAAGACUCCACUACCGCAUGGUAGAGAAGUCAAAGGGAUUACCGGUAUGAGAUGAGCUCGCGUCCCAUUAGCUAGUUGGUAGGGUAAAGGCCUACCAAGGCGACGAUGGGUAGCCGACCUGAGAGGGUGAUCGGCCACACUGGGACUGAGACACGGCCCAGACUCCUACGGGAGGCAGCAGUGGGGAAUAUUGCACAAUGGAGGGAACUCUGAUGCAGCAACGCCGCGUGAGUGAAGAAGGUUUUCGGAUCGUAAAACUCUGUCAUUGGGGAAGAAUAAAUGACGGUACCCAAUGAGGAAGCCCCGGCUAACUACGUGCCAGCAGCCGCGGUAAUACGUAGGGGGCGAGCGUUGUCCGGAAUUACUGGGCGUAAAGGGUACGUAGGCGGCUAUAUAAGUCAGGUGUGAAAUACCAGUGCUUAACACUGGAAUUGCAUUUGAAACUGUGUAGCUUGAGUGCAGGAGAGGAAAGUGGAAUUCCUAGUGUAGCGGUGAAAUGCGUAGAGAUUAGGAGGAACACCAGUGGCGAAGGCGACUUUCUGGUCUGUAACUGACGCUGAGGUACGAAAGCGUGGGUAGCGAACAGGAUUAGAUACCCUGGUAGUCCACGCCGUAAACGAUGGAUACUAGGUGUAGGGGGUAUCGACCCCCCCUGUGCCGGAGUUAACGCAAUAAGUAUCCCGCCUGGGGAGUACGGUCGCAAGACUGAAACUCAAAUGAAUUGACGG